GAUGAACGCUGGCGGCGUGCCUAAUACAUGCAAGUCGAGCGAACAGACGAGGAGCUUGCUCCUCUGACGUUAGCGGCGGACGGGUGAGUAACACGUGGAUAACCUACCUAUAAGACUGGGAUAACUUCGGGAAACCGGAGCUAAUACCGGAUAAUAUAUUGAACCGCAUGGUUCAAUAGUGAAAGACGGUUUUGCUGUCACUUAUAGAUGGAUCCGCGCCGCAUUAGCUAGUUGGUAAGGUAACGGCUUACCAAGGCGACGAUGCGUAGCCGACCUGAGAGGGUGAUCGGCCACGCUGGAACUGAGACACGGUCCAGACUCCUACGGGAGGCAGCAGUAGGGAAUCUUCCGCAAUGGGCGAAAGCCUGACGGAGCAACGCCGCGUGAGUGAUGAAGGUCUUCGGAUCGUAAAACUCUGUUAUUAGGGAAGAACAAAUGUGUAAGUAACUAUGCACGUCUUGACGGUACCUAAGCAGAAAGCCACGGCUAACUACGU
This 496-nucleotide ribosomal RNA is filed under the name uncultured bacterium. Its description in RNAcentral is "partial 16S ribosomal RNA". It matches the Rfam family "Bacterial small subunit ribosomal RNA", at positions 28 to 506 of the family's 1533-position model. The record is from RNAcentral.